Molecule: long non-coding RNA, 2501 nt
Organism: Canis lupus familiaris (dog)
Lineage: Eukaryota; Metazoa; Chordata; Mammalia; Carnivora; Canidae
Exons: 4
Source: RefSeq, a predicted model, not a curated record
UCUAUUCCAUUUGCCUCCUAAGAGGGAGGAUUCCCAAUUGGGUGAAAAAAUCGUCAGGGUCCAAUGUAAUCACAGUGGAAAUAUGCUAUCUCCAAACUAGCAGAGACCUUUUAAAAUUAAAGUAGAGGGAUCUGUCACUCAAACUUGCGCUAGUUUUGGCACAGCCUUGCUCUGACCCAUCAUCAUCAUGAAAGCCCGUGAAGGUGAAUGGCAACUACAUGUAGGAGAAAAAGUAGUAGCUACAAAGAUAUUCUCAUAGGUUUACGAGAGCUCAUUUUUGAUAAGGCACAUGGACAUCUGGAAGGGAAAAAUUCUUGUCACCCCUACAUCCUGGUUUUCAAGAAUCUCAAUUUAAUCAUGUAUCUGCGGAUAACACGCAGCGAAGAAGGACUCAAAGUUGCUGUCUCCACAAACCACCUUCCUGGGGUCAGGCACGCGCAUAUGAAGAUAUGUUAGGACUAGUCUGAAGGAAGGACUGUCCUUCUCAAAUACUCCUUCCCAUUCUGGGCAAGAGUUCAAGAACACUGCCUUCCUGACCCCACUAUCUUCUUAGGACUGAUUUUAGCCGACUCAUACCAGCUCGUUAGGCACAAUGGAAAUAUUUGCUGUUGAAACCAUCAAAUUUUAGAGGUGAGGGACAGAAAAACAGAGGACGGAAGGAGGGGACCAAAUCCCAUCUGUUACCUACCUACAUGCCCACCUACAGGUCCUUCUGUCUGCCUUUUGACCUUUCACUCACCUCGACCAACAGAACGGUUGUCUGGAUACCAAUGAGAAGGACUUUUUCAGUGUAAUAAUAAUUCCUAAUGUUGAGAGAACAAUUCUUCCAAAACUGCAAGCAGAGAUAUGACACUAAGAUGUCGCCAACAGAUCUUGUUACCAAAAGCAAAACCAAUGAAACAACAUCUGUCUCUUCUAGAGCAUUCAAUUCCCAAUUCAAUUCCAUUUACUCCAUCCUUAGAGUGGCGGACCCGCAGGGCACUUUUCAUCUAAUAGUGUUUCUAUGGAAACGCCAUUCUCAACCUGGAAGAUUCUACAACCCCUCACUUUGGCUUUAUCCACAUUGAGAGGAAGGUCUUAUAAAUCAGAAAUUGAGCCAUAAAUUUCGCCACAGACAAACAAGGAUUUUUCAAGGCUACAAGUUCACAAAUAAGAAACAAACAAAACAAAACCAAAGAGUCAAAAAAAUGUGUAUCCAGACACAGAAACAAAGUGUCUCUAUUAAGCAUCCAAUGAGAUCCGAAAGAUCAGUGAAAGGAAUCCAACAAGAGAAUGUGAAUGAAAAACCAAUUCACCUUGAGGGUCACCUCCCCUUACUGGUCAAAUACCAGAUGCGUCGCCCCUCGCAUGGUUUCUUCACCUGACCCCGCAGGCUCCAGAUCUGGUUGGCUGGUUGGCCCCAGUGACGAAACAUCAGCACGGCUGCAUCAGCACCGUUCACCAACUGUCUCUGCCUAUCUCCCGCUACGUUUUCCUCCUGCCGUGCCCUCCGUGCCCUCCAGACCCUGGCCCUUCCCAUCCCCCUCAGUCGUGGUCCAUAACCCUCAGGGGCAAACUUGCACCAGGCACAUCUCGGACUAUCCGCGUACAGGUAACAGACAUCAGUUAUCCUUGCCGGAAAGUCUGGAUUAAUUUACACCCUCGAGUGUUCCUGGAGGCAGAGCCUCCAUCCAGAGGAGCAGAACCAGCGUGGUGGCCUUUGACAGCCCCUCCUGUCUCCCUGACACAGUGCAAGCUAAAGGCCAGCGCUCUGAAGUUCUAAGCACAGGGACAACUUUCACUGUGCAGCUCGGGCUCGGAUGAAUGUCUCGUAAUGGCAACCAGUGCAUGCAAACCACUUCAGAGCAAUUUAUGUGAGCAUCUUGCCAUUGCAACAAGAUUUAAGCUUUUUGGGACCGUGCGCUAGGAAGGUCCGCUACAGCGUUAGGAGAAAGGAAGUCCUUCUCUCCGGGGUCUAUCUUACUUUCUUCUUAGUAGGACUUGGUUCUAGGGACCCAAGAGUCACACUGAGAAAAGCAACAUCAUUAACAUACAUACUUAAAAUCACAACUCCUACACCUUAUAACUUACAGUUAACAAAAUUGCAAUAGUGAACUUCAAAUAACACUUCUCGUUUGGGGUAAGUAUCUAGGAAAUAAGGGCUAACACUUCUGUAAAAACUAGGGGGACACAGUGAUUUAUGAAAUAUUCCAAGUGCAGAGGGAUCAUGUUCCCCCAUCUUUUUUUUUUUUUUUUCUAUCACAACGGGUUCAUCGUCCAUAUUUAGUUUACAUAUGUCAUUUAGAAUCCACUUACUGUUAGAUGCUGGAACAGCCACGCCCUCAUGAUAUUUGUGGCUACUUUGGGAAAGAUGCCACGCUUUUUGUGACGCUUUUUGUCCUUAUCUGGAUCAUCAUCGUCACCUGUGCUGGGGGAAGCUACACUGUUGUCCAAGCCAUCACCUGCAAACAUAGUGAAUCAAAUUUUGACUGAUGCUACCUUGACAUGCUUUAUGCAAAUAG